Anopheles gambiae (African malaria mosquito) is the source of this 922-nucleotide long non-coding RNA. RefSeq lists it as uncharacterized. The transcript is spliced from 3 exons. NCBI's taxonomy places the organism in Eukaryota, Metazoa, Arthropoda, Insecta, Diptera, Culicidae. The record is from RefSeq and is a predicted model, not a curated record.
UGGCAAAGAGUAACUCAUUUUGAUGCCUCUCGCUACCCCUGGCCUUAGUUUUAAAGGAAUCAUGCGACACACUCGCACUCCACUACCCCAUCCCAUGGAAAAACGCUCCCACCAUCGAGGUGUUGACCAAAAUUUCGCUGUGUGCAUGAGACACACACUCGCACUCCUCCAGCCCUCCACAGCUGAACGCUCCCACCGUUGCGAAGUUGCGAGAAUUUUUGCUCUGAGCGUGAGACCCUGAAGCGCCAGAGAUGACACUAUGUGUAAAGACGAUCAUAAUUCGAUAUGGUCAAAAUGCGUCGAUUAUCGUUUCAUUUAUCUGGUAAUGAUGUUUUCACUUCAUCAAAAUUUUAAACAUUAACAACUAGGCUGAUAACAAUAGUUGAAAUGUAAAUCAGAAUAAAAUCAAUUCAUUUGAAGUAAAAUGAAUUCCAUUAUACUCUAUUUUGACCAAAUGAUCAACUCUUGUACAUAGUGCCAUUUACUUUGUGUUCUUCACUCUCGCGUUGUGUUUUGAUCGUUCGAAACUCAUUGCCAGAACGAAUGCAAAUUUCAUUUGGGAAGGAUCGGUGCCGGAAGAUGCAGUGAAAAUUAUAAAAUGUUUAUAGAAAAGUGGUUAAGUAAAUCGUGAAAGAUGUCAACGCAGGCGUAAAUGCAGUUUGUUUUGUUACUUGAUCUACGGCUAUUUCAUUGCCAAAGCACCUGAUAACCGAUCAAAGAAGGUGAAUUGGGCUUACAGAGUCGCCAUUUAACUUCAAUAUAUUCGUGAUCGGAAAACGCAUCAAACAGCAAGUGUUUUUCUUCUAAUAGCACGCGCCAUCGGUGGAGCAAGCUGCAAACGUUUCGUUCGCCCAACACGCACCAUCAAGUAUUAUAAUAUUCCCGAAUAGCUCUGUGAAUAAAAAACUGCACACUUACUGUC